Molecule: ribosomal RNA, 111 nt
Filed under: Periophthalmus magnuspinnatus
Lineage: Eukaryota; Metazoa; Chordata; Actinopteri; Gobiiformes; Gobiidae
Source: RNAcentral
CUUCUGAGAUAUGUCAAAGCCUGACUUUGUCAUAUCUCAGAAGUUAAGCAGGACUGAGCCUGGUUAGUACUCUGAUGGGAGACCACUAACAAAAACAGGUGCCACAGUGGG